This 487-nucleotide ribosomal RNA is filed under the name uncultured bacterium. RNAcentral describes it as "bacterial SSU rRNA". It matches the Rfam family "Bacterial small subunit ribosomal RNA", at positions 28 to 521 of the family's 1533-position model. The record is from RNAcentral.
GAUGAACGCUGGCGGCGUGCUUAACACAUGCAAGUCGAACGGUGAAAGCGGAGCUUGCUCUGCUGGAUCAGUGGCGAACGGGUGAGUAACACGUGAGCAACCUGCCCCGGACUCUGGGAUAACAGUUGGAAACAGCUGCUAAUACCGGAUACGAGCUGCGAAGGCAUCUUCAGCAGCUGGAAAGAACUUCGGUCUGGGAUGGGCUCGCGGCCUAUCAGCUUGUUGGUGAGGUAAUGGCUCACCAAGGCGUCGACGGGUAGCCGGCCUGAGAGGGUGACCGGCCACACUGGGACUGAGACACGGCCCAGACUCCUACGGGAGGCAGCAGUGGGGAAUAUUGCACAAUGGGCGCAAGCCUGAUGCAGCAACGCCGCGUGAGGGAUGACGGCCUUCGGGUUGUAAACCUCUUUCGACAUUGACGAAGCCCUUUUGGGGUGACGGUAGGUGUAGAAGAAGGACCGGCCAACUACGUGCCAGCCGCCGCUGU